RNAcentral lists this ribosomal RNA (440 nucleotides) under uncultured marine organism. RNAcentral's name for it is "SSU rRNA". It matches the Rfam family "Bacterial small subunit ribosomal RNA", at positions 314 to 769 of the family's 1533-position model. The record is from RNAcentral.
UGGGACUGAGACACGGCCCAGACUCCUCCGGGAGGCAGCAGUGAGGAAUUUUCCGCAAUGGGCGAAAGCCUGACGGAGCAAUACCGCGUGAGGGAAUAAGGAUCUUGGUCUGUAAACCUCUUUUCUCAAGAAAGAAGUUCUGACGGUACUUGAGGAAUAAGCAUCGGCUAACUCCGUGCCAGCAGCCGCGGUAAUACGGGGGAUGCAGGCGUUAUCCGGAAUCAUUGGGCGUAAAGCGCCUGUAGGUUGUUUAAUAAGUCUGUUGUUAAAGACUAGGGCUUAACCCUGGAAAAGCAAUGGAAACUACUAGACUUGAGUAUGGUAGGGGUAGGGGGAAUUUCUAGUGUAGCGGUGAAAUGCGUAGAUAUUAGAAAGAACACCAGUGGCGAAAGCGCCCUACUGGACCAUCACUGACACUGAGAGGCGAAAGCUAGGGGAGC